Molecule: antisense RNA, 75 nt
Filed under: Micromonospora halophytica
Lineage: Bacteria; Bacillati; Actinomycetota; Actinomycetes; Micromonosporales; Micromonosporaceae
Description: ASpks TB sRNA
Rfam family: ASpks TB sRNA
Source: Rfam by way of RNAcentral
CUUGAUCGAGCCGAGCCACAGCGGGUUGCCGGGCUCCCGCUCCUGCCCGUAGGUGGUCAGCAGAGCCUGCACCUC